GUAGCCUAGCGGUUAGAGGAGGAACAGGUAGCCUAGGGGUUAGAGGAGGAACAGGUAGCCUAGCGGUUAGAGGAGGAACAGGUAGCCUAGCUGUUAGAGGAGGAACAGGUAGACUAGCGGUUAGAGGAGGAACAGGUAGCCUAGCGGUUAGAGGAGGAACAGGUAGCCUAGCGGUUAGAGGAGGAACAGGUAGCCUAGCGGUUAGAGGAGGAACAGGUAGCCUAGCGGUUAGAGGAGGAACAGGUAGCCUAGCGGUUAGAGGAGGAACAGGUAGCCUAGCGGUUAGAGGAGGAACAGGUAGCCUAGCGGUUAGAGGAGGAACAGGUAGCCUAGCGGUUAGAGGAGGAACAGGUAGCCUAGCGG
This is a long non-coding RNA of Oncorhynchus keta (chum salmon), 363 nucleotides long. RefSeq lists it as uncharacterized. The transcript is spliced from 3 exons. NCBI's taxonomy places the organism in Eukaryota, Metazoa, Chordata, Actinopteri, Salmoniformes, Salmonidae. The record is from RefSeq and is a predicted model, not a curated record.